UGGGAACGUGCCCAAAGGUACGGAACAACUCCGGGAAACUGGAGCUAAUACCGUAUGUGCCCGAAAGGGGAAAGAUUCAUCGCCUUUGGAUCGGCCCGCGUCUGAUUAGCUAGUUGGCGGGGUAAUGGACCACCAAGGCGACGAUCAGUAGCUGGUCUGAGAGGAUGACCAGCCACACUGGGACUGAGACACGGCCCAGACUCCUACGGGAGGCAG
This 216-nucleotide ribosomal RNA is filed under the name uncultured bacterium. RNAcentral describes it as "partial 16S ribosomal RNA". It matches the Rfam family "Bacterial small subunit ribosomal RNA", at positions 118 to 351 of the family's 1533-position model. The record is from RNAcentral.